Molecule: ribosomal RNA, 794 nt
Filed under: uncultured Thermococcus sp.
Lineage: Archaea; Methanobacteriati; Methanobacteriota; Thermococci; Thermococcales; Thermococcaceae
Description: bacterial SSU rRNA
Rfam family: Archaeal small subunit ribosomal RNA
Source: RNAcentral
ACGGCUCAGUAACACGUCGGUAACCUACCCUCGGGAGGGGGAUAACCCCGGGAAACUGGGGCUAAUUCCCCAUAGGCCUGAGGUACUGGAAGGUCCUCAGGCCGAAAGGGACUUAUGUCCGCCCGAGGACGGGCCGGCGGCCGAUUAGGUAGUUGGUGGGGUAAUGGCCCACCAAGCCGAAGAUCGGUACGGGCUGUGAGAGCAGGAGCCCGGAGAUGGACACUGAGACACGGGUCCAGGCCCUACGGGGCGCAGCAGGCGCGAAACCUCCGCAAUGCGGGAAACCGCGACGGGGGGACCCCGAGUGCCGUGGCAACGCCACGGCUUUUCCGGAGUGUAAAAAGCUCCGGGAAUAAGGGCUGGGCAAGGCCGGUGGCAGCCGCCGCGGUAAUACCGGCGGCCCGAGUGGUGGCCGCUAUUAUUGGGCCUAAAGCGUCCGUAGCCGGGCCCGUAAGUCCCUGGCGAAAUCCCACGGCUCAACCGUGGGGCUUGCUGGGGAUACUGCGGGUCUUGGGACCGGGAGAGGCGGGGGGUACCCCUGGGGUAGGGGUGAAAUCCUAUAAUCCCAGGGGGACCGCCAGUGGCGAAGGCGCCCCGCUGGAACGGGUCCGACGGUGAGGGACGAAGGCCAGGGGAGCAAACCGGAUUAGAUACCCGGGUAGUCCUGGCUGUAAAGGAUGCGGGCUAGGUGUCGGGUGAGCCUCGAGCUCGCCCGGUGCCGUAGGGAAGCCGUUAAGCCCGCCGCCUGGGGAGUACGGCCGCAAGGCUGAAACUUAAAGGAAUUGGCGGGGGAG